UUGCCAGACUCCUACGGGAGGCAGCAGUGAGGAAUAUUGGUCAAUGGACGCAAGUCUGAACCAGCCAUGCCGCGUGCAGGAUGACGGCUCUAUGAGUUGUAAACUGCUUUUGUACGAGGGUAAACCCCGAUACGUGUAUCGGGUUGAAAGUAUCGUACGAAUAAGGAUCGGCUAACUCCGUGCCAGCAGCCGCGGUAAUACGGAGGAUCCAAGCGUUAUCCGGAUUUAUUGGGUUUAAAGGGUGCGUAGGCGGAUUGAUAAGUUAGAGGUGAAAUGUCCGAGCUCAACUCGGGAACUGCCUCUAAUACUGUUGAUCUAGAGAGUAGAUGCGGUAGGCGGAAUGUAUGGUGUAGCGGUGAAAUGCUUAGAGAUCAUACAGAACACCGAUUGCGAAGGCAGCUUACCAAUCUAUAUCUGACGUUGAGGCACGAAAGCGUGGGGAGCAAACAGGAUUAGAUACCCCUGUAU
Molecule: ribosomal RNA, 468 nt
Filed under: uncultured bacterium
Lineage: Bacteria
Description: bacterial SSU rRNA
Rfam family: Bacterial small subunit ribosomal RNA
Source: RNAcentral